GAUGAACGCUGGCGGCGUGCCUAAUACAUGCAAGUCGAGCGAACAGACGAGGAGCUUGCUCCUCUGACGUUAGCGGCGGACGGGUGAGUAACACGUGGAUAACCUACCUAUAAGACUGGGAUAACUUCGGGAAACCGGAGCUAAUACCGGAUAAUAUAUUGAACCGCAUGGUUCAAUAGUGAAAGACGGUUUUGCUGUCACUUAUAAAUGGAUCCGCGCCGCAUUAGCUAGUUGGUAAGGUAACGGCUUACCAAGGCAACGAUGCGUAGCCGACCUGAGAGGGUGAUCGGCCACACUUGAACUGAGACACGGUCCAGACUCCUACGGGAGGCAGCAGUAGGGAAUCUUCCGCAAUGGGCGAAAGCCUGACGGAGCAACGCCGCGUGAGUGAUGAAGGUCUUCGGAUCGUAAAACUCUGUUAUUAGGGAAGAACAAAUGUGUAAGUAACUAUGCACGUCUUGACGGUACCUAAUCAGAAAGCCACGGCUAACUACGUG
RNAcentral lists this ribosomal RNA (497 nucleotides) under uncultured bacterium. Its description in RNAcentral is "partial 16S ribosomal RNA". It matches the Rfam family "Bacterial small subunit ribosomal RNA", at positions 28 to 507 of the family's 1533-position model. The record is from RNAcentral.